GAUCAGAUGUUUACAUGUGUC
This 21-nucleotide non-coding RNA is filed under the name Arabidopsis thaliana (thale cress). Lineage: Eukaryota; Viridiplantae; Streptophyta; Magnoliopsida; Brassicales; Brassicaceae. The record is from RNAcentral.